CCUACGGGUGGCUGCAGUGAGGAAUAUUGGUCAAUGGUCGGGAGACUGAACCAGCCAAGCCGCGUGAAGGAUGACGGUACAGAGUAUCGUAAACCUCUUUUGUCAGGGAACAAAAGCUGGGACGCGUCCCCGGAUGAGUGUACCUGAUGAAAAAGCAUCGGCUAACUCCGUGCCAGCAGCCGCGGUAAUACGGAGGAUGCGAGCGUUAUCCGGAUUUAUUGGGUUUAAAGGGUGCGCAGGCGGUCUGUUAAGUCAGCGGUCAAAGCCCGGGGCUCAACCCCGGCUCACCGUUGAAUCUGGCAGUCUUGAGUUGGAGAGAAGUAUGCGGAAUGCGCGGUGUAGCGGUGAAAUGCAUAGAUAUCGCGAAGAACUCCGAUUGCGAAGGCAGCAUGCCGGCUCCACACUGACGCUGAGGCACGAAAGCGUGGGUAUCGAACAGGAUUAGAUACCCGAGUAGUC
RNAcentral lists this ribosomal RNA (459 nucleotides) under uncultured bacterium. RNAcentral describes it as "partial 16S ribosomal RNA". It matches the Rfam family "Bacterial small subunit ribosomal RNA", at positions 338 to 795 of the family's 1533-position model. The record is from RNAcentral.